AAGUAGGGGAUCGCAAGACCUUGCGCUUUUGGAGCGGCCGAUGCCUGAUUAGCUAGUUGGUAGGGUAAUGGCCUACCAAGGCGACGAUCAGUAGUUGGUCUGAGAGGACGACCAGCCACACUGGGACUGAGACACGGCCCAGACUCCUACGGGAGGCAGCAGUGGGGAAUUUUGGACAAUGGGCGAAAGCCUGAUCCAGCAAUGCCGCGUGAGUGAAGAAGGCCUUCGGGUUGUAAAGCUCUUUCAGUCGAGAAGAAAAGGUUGUGACUAAUAAUCACAACUCAUGACGGUAUCGACAGAAGAAGCACCGGCUAACUACGUGCCAGCAGCCGCGGUAAUACGUAGGGUGCGAGCGUUAAUCGGAAUUACUGGGCGUAAAGGGUGCGCAGGCGGCUUUGUAAGUCAGAUGUGAAAUCCCCGGGCUUAACCUGGGAAUUGCGUUUGAAACUACAAAGCUAGAGU
RNAcentral lists this ribosomal RNA (462 nucleotides) under uncultured ammonia-oxidizing beta proteobacterium. RNAcentral describes it as "bacterial SSU rRNA". It matches the Rfam family "Bacterial small subunit ribosomal RNA", at positions 194 to 647 of the family's 1533-position model. Lineage: Bacteria; Pseudomonadati; Pseudomonadota; Betaproteobacteria. The record is from RNAcentral.